AUGUUCCAGGAAGGCAGGGAGUUCCCUUUGCCGUAUGGAAGGCUACCCUGGCGGGGGCACGGCAAUGGGGAGAGGCUGGCUCUUGCCCCCAAGGAAGUCUCCCGGCCUGCCCCCCCGCCCCCGGGUCACGCAUCCCGGCGAAACCCCGGCUCGGAGGUACAAAGCAGGCGGCAGCCCGCGGGGCCGAGGGGAGUAAGGAAGUGCCGGGCUCGCCGCCGCACCGAGCUGGGGCCCCGACACCUUCCCCGGGCUCCCGAGGGUGAGAGAACUCUCAGCGUUCUAGGGAAAUCUCGCCCACCCACGGCCCCAAGCGGCCGCGGUCACUCGCACCCGGGCCGGAGCCGGGCAGGCCCGGGACCGAAUCCUGCAAGGGGAGGGUCCGGCUCUCCUGCCCGGGCGCCUUUUCCCGCGGGUGACACUUUGUGUUGGCGGUUGCUGCCUCGCACGUCGGCACUCGGCCCGAGCUCCCGCGGGUCUGGGGGCGGGGGCGGGGGCGGCUGGAAUCCCUGCCCGGCCUGGGCGGCGCGGCCCCUGGAGCGGGGGAGGGGGCGAGACCCGAAUCCAGAUGUGCUCCUAGGGCACGGCCGGCGCACGGAGGGGGAGGGGGCGCGGGUUUCUGCUCGGGAGGGAAACGUUUUCGUAGUAGGCUGUGUUUAUGCGGGCUGGGGAGGAGGGAGAGCCAGGGCCGCCCCAGGCGGCCAGCUACGAGGGCUGCCACCGAAACGUCUCGUCCUCCGCCUGCUGCACGCCCAGCCCCGGAACGAAAUCCCCCUCCGGGGGCGCAGGAGCCGCUCCCCUCCCCCGGGGUGGUCUGGGGCAGAGGCGGGAUCCGUCGCGGGGGGGAGGGGGGGGAGUGGGCAAGGGAAAGGAGCGCAGACCGCAGGACACAGAAGACCCCCCCCCCCCCCAUUCCCUACUUCGGCUCGGCUGGGUCCGGGCUGGGCAACACCUGGAAGUAGUUUCCCCCGCGCCCGGGGAAGCGCUGUCCGGCCGCCUUGGGAAGGGGCAGAGGGGCUGGACUCGCGUGGGGGACUCCGGGCAGGAGGGCGGAAGGAAGCCCCUUCCUCCCCCCGUGGAGGCGCGGGGUGCCCGGGGGCGGGGGCCGGGGGGCGGGCGCCGGGGGGGACACUCACCUCUGCUGGCCUCGGGCUGCGUGCGUGCGUGCGGCGCGGGGCAGAGCGGGGCAGGGCAGGGCGCUCCCCUCCGGCCUGGCGCGGCCCCGAGCUCUUCCUCCGGCCCCGGCCCGCCGGGGGCUGGCUGCUCCUCCGCCUCAAGGCUGCGCGGCCGGGGCCCCUCCGCCUCGGCCGCGGCCCCGGGGAGAGCUGCUCCGGGCCGCCCGGGCACCUCCUCCUCCCCCGGCCGCGGCGGCUCCAAGUUGGCCUCGGCCCCGGCGGGCUCCCAAUGGCAUAG
This 1410-nucleotide long non-coding RNA is filed under the name Sarcophilus harrisii (Tasmanian devil). RNAcentral describes it as "lncRNA (ENSSHAG00000024374.1)". Lineage: Eukaryota; Metazoa; Chordata; Mammalia; Dasyuromorphia; Dasyuridae. The record is from RNAcentral.